CUAAUACAUGCACCGAAGCUCAGAUUGUUUUGACGAGCGCAUCUAUUAGACUUAAAACCAAUCGGGUUGCAUCACCCAGCUAGUGUCUCGUGUCAACGAUUGCUUCUUGCGUCGUGACUCGGUGACAUGGGUUGCGUACUCGUGAAGUGGUGACUCUGAAUAGCUUUGCUGAUCGCAUGGUCUCGUACCGGCGACGUAUCUAUCAAGUAUCUGCCUUAUCAACUUUCGAUGGUAGUUUAUGUGCCUACCAUGGUUGUAACGGGUAACGGAGAAUAAGGGUUCGACUCCGGAGAGGGAGCCUGAGAAACGGCUACCACUUCCAAGGAAGGCAGCAGGCGCGCAAAUUACCCACUCUUAGCUCGAGGAGGUAGUGACGAAAAAUAACGAGACCGUCUUCAUUGAGGCCGGUUAUCGGAAUGGGUACAACUUAAACCCGUUAACGAGGAUCAAUGAGAGGGCAAGUCUGGUGCCAGCAGCCGCGGUAAUUCCAGCUCUCAAAGUGUAUAUCGUCAUUGCUGCGGUUAAAAAGCUCGUAGUUGGAUAUAGGCCAUACGAUUCGGUGCAUCUGAAUUGAUGUGAACUGUAUUCGUUGGUUGCAGUUGUCGUUUUGUUGUUCGCCGCCACUCGGGCGCGUUCGCGUUGUUCGUGUGGCUGCGCGCAAACGGCAUAUGCCGGUUUUCGCUACGUUGCCUUAGUCGGUUGCGUAGUGUGACUGGCGAGUUUACCUUGAAAAAAUUAGAGUGCUCAACGCGGGCUAGCGCUUGAAUACUCGUGCAUGGAAUAAUGGAAUAGGAUCUUGGUUCUAUUUUGUUGGUUUUCUGAGCCAAGAUAAUGGUUAAGAGGGACAGACGGGGGCAUUCGUAUCGCUGCGUGAGAGGUGAAAUUCUUGGACCGCAGCGAGACGCCCUACUGCGAAAGCAUUUGCCAAGAAUGUCUUCAUUAAUCAAGAACGAAAGUCAGAGGUUCGAAGGCGAUCAGAUACCGCCCUAGUUCUGACCGUAAACGAUACCAACUAGCGUUCCGUCAUCGGUAAUAUAACGCCUUGACGGGCAGCUUACCGGAAACGAAAGUGUCUCGGUUCCGGGGGAAGUAUGGUUGCAAAGCUGAAACUUAAAGAAAUUGACGGAAGGGCACCACCAGGAGUGGAGCCUGCGGCUUAAUUUGACUCAACACGGGAAAACUCACCUGGCCUGGACACCGUGAGGAUUGACAGAUUGAGAGCUCUUUCUUGAUUCGGUGGUUGGUGGUGCAUGGCCGUUCUUAGUUGGUGGAGUGAUUUGUCUGGUUAAUUCCGAUAACGAGCGAGACUCUAGCCUACUAAAUAGUCGGUGGGCAAACAAACGUUGCCCACGCGCCUUCUUAGAGGGACAAGCGGUGUUCAGCCGCAUGAAGUUGAGCCAUAACAGGUCUGUGAUGCCCUUAGAUGUUCAGGGCUGCACGCGCGCUACACUGGAGGAAUCAGCGUGCAUAUGUCCAUUGUCGAAAGGCAUUGGUAACCAGUUGAAAAUCCUUCGUGCUCGGGAUCGGCAAUUGCAAUUAUUUGCCGUGAACGAGGAAUUCCUAGUAAGUGUGAGUCAUCAGCUCACGCUGAUUACGUCCCUGCCCUUUGUACACACCGCCCGUCGCUGCCCGGGACUGAGCCGUUUCGAGAAAAGCGGGGAUCACUGCUUUGAGGCCCUUGUGGCUGAGAUGUCUAUGUGAAAACCGCGUUUAUCGCAGUGGCUUGAACCGGGCAAAAGUCGUAACAAGGUUUCCGUAGGUGAACCUGC
RNAcentral lists this ribosomal RNA (1769 nucleotides) under Skrjabillaninae gen. sp. SKJ11. RNAcentral's name for it is "SSU rRNA". It matches the Rfam family "Eukaryotic small subunit ribosomal RNA". The record is from RNAcentral. Lineage: Eukaryota; Metazoa; Nematoda; Chromadorea; Rhabditida; Skrjabillanidae.